Long non-coding RNA from Acanthopagrus latus (yellowfin seabream), 653 nucleotides. RefSeq lists it as uncharacterized. NCBI's taxonomy places the organism in Eukaryota, Metazoa, Chordata, Actinopteri, Spariformes, Sparidae. The transcript is spliced from 4 exons. The record is from RefSeq and is a predicted model, not a curated record.
CCUGAGGAAGUGAAACACACAAAGACAAAGAAUGAAAAUUACAGGAAAAUCCAGCUUCUUCUGCUCCGAGGCUUUAAGCUGUGAGAGACGUAUGAACGGCUGGUUUGUUAGGCUCACUUUAUAAUUAGACUUUGGGCUGCCACCAUCAUUUCUCAUCUCUGUGGAAAGGAGAGCACCAGUCCUCAUCACAGCAACCUGCCUGGAAGAGAGCUCCGUACAGGCUGCUUGGUUCUGGGUCACAGAGGACUGUCCUCCUUCCUGGUUUUAGAGUUCAGGAGGAAGCUGACGCUGCUGCGUGUUUCCCUGGGUUUGACUCUCAGACGGUCCAGACUGUAAAGACACAUCGAGGGAACAUUCGGAGGUCGUCCGGGCCACACCGAAGGAUCAACAAUCAGAAGAGCGGCGACGACCGGCAGAAUGGACGAUAUGCUGUCUGGUUCCCAUGUGGUUCAAAUCAGAACUUCAGGCCCGUCUUAAUCACACAGGUUGGUACGUGCAGGCGAAGAAUCACCCGACAUAUGGAACAUCCUCACGUAGCUUUAUCAGUUAUCUUCAAAAAAGUACAUUUACUCAAGAAUUGUUCUGAAGUACAACUUUCAGGGACUUUUGCUUAAAUGUAUUGUAAUGUUGGCUGAUUUUGUUGACAGCUGGAG